AUUGAACGCUGGCGGCAUGCUUUACACAUGCAAGUCGAACGGUAACAGGUCUUCGGAUGCUGACGAGUGGCGAACGGGUGAGUAAUACAUCGGAACGUGCCUAGUAGUGGGGGAUAACUACUCGAAAGAGUAGCUAAUACCGCAUGAGAUCUACGGAUGAAAGCAGGGGACCUUCGGGCCUUGUGCUACUAGAGCGGCUGAUGGCAGAUUAGGUAGUUGGUGGGGUAAAGGCUUACCAAGCCUGCGAUCUGUAGCUGGUCUGAGAGGACGACCAGCCAGACUGGGACUGAGACACGGCCCAGAAUCAUACGGGAGGCAGCAGUGGGGAAUUUUGGACAAUGGGCGAAAGCCUGAUCCAGCAAUGCCGCGUGCAGGAUGAAGGCCCUCGGGUUGUAAACUGCUUUUGUACGGAACGAAAAGCCUGGGGCUAAUAUCCCCGGGUCAUGACGGUACCGUAAGAAUAAGCACCGGCUAACUACGUGCCAGCCGCCGCCGUAA
RNAcentral lists this ribosomal RNA (498 nucleotides) under uncultured bacterium. Its description in RNAcentral is "partial 16S ribosomal RNA". It matches the Rfam family "Bacterial small subunit ribosomal RNA", at positions 30 to 523 of the family's 1533-position model. The record is from RNAcentral.